AAUGGGGGAAACCCUGAUGCAGCGACGCCGCGUGAGCGAUGAAGGAAUUCGUUUCGUAAAGCUCUGUCCAAGGGGAAGAUAAUGACAGUACCCUUGGAGGAAGCCCCGGCUAAAUACGUGCCAGCAGCCGCGGUAAUACGUAUGGGGCGAGCGUUGUCCGGAAUUAUUGGGCGUAAAGGGUACGUAGGCGGUUAGAUAAGUCAGAUGUAAAAGCGUGGGGCUCAACCCCAUAAAGCAUUUGAAACUGUGUAACUUGAGUAGUGGAGAGGAAAGUGGAAUUCCUAGUGUAGCGGUGAAAUGCGUAGAUAUUAGGAGGAAUACCAGUGGCGAAGGCGACUUUCUGGACACAAACUGACGCUGAGGUACGAAAGCAUGGGGAGCAAA
RNAcentral lists this ribosomal RNA (384 nucleotides) under uncultured bacterium. Its description in RNAcentral is "bacterial SSU rRNA". It matches the Rfam family "Bacterial small subunit ribosomal RNA", at positions 370 to 772 of the family's 1533-position model. The record is from RNAcentral.